GGUCAAGUUAGAAAGGGCGUAUGGUGGAUGCCCAGGCACUUAGAGCCGAAGAAGGACGCAGCAAGCGGCGAAACGCUCCGGGGAGUCGCAAGCAGACGUAGAUCCGGAGAUAUCCGAAUGGGGAAACCCGCUUAAGGUAAUACUUAAGCAUCCCAUGGUGAACACAUAGCCAUGGGAAGGGAAACCGCGUGAACUGAAACAUCUAAGUAGCGCGAGGAGAAGAAAGAAAACAGGGCCUCCCAGCGGAGAGACUCCGCUGGGAAGGUAGUGUCGAUUUCCUAAGUAGCGGCGAGCGAAAAGGAAAGAGCCCAAACCAUCACCGCAGGUGAUGGGGUUUAGGACCACGAGAAGGUAUAUGGAGUGAAGCCGAACAGACCUGGGAAGGCAGGCCAAAGAAGGUGAAAGCCCUGUAGGCGUAAGCUUUAAAUACCGAGUGGGAUCCAGAGUACCACAGGAUAGGCAACCCGGUGGGAAGACGGGAGGACCAUCUCCCAAGGCUAAAUACUCCUAAGUGACCGAUAGCGCAAAGUACCGUGAGGGAAAGGUGAAAAGAACCCCGGGAGGGGAGUGAAAGAGAACCUGAAACCAUAUGUCCACAAGCAGUGGAAGUCCGGCACUCAACUGAACAUGUUAGAGAGAAGAAAAAAAGAACUAGCGUGUCCAGUUGAGAGCCGGACGACCACGUACUUUUUGUAGAACGGACCGGCGAGUUAUAGAUAUGCAGCGAGGUUAAGCGAAAGCGGAGCCGAAGCGAAAGCGAGUCUUAAGAGGGCGAAAGUUGCAUAUCAUAGACCCGAAACCGUGCGACCUACCCAUGAUCAGGGUGAAGCCGGAGUAAGAUCUGGUGGAGGCCCGAACCACGUUGACGUUGAAAAGUCAUGGGAUGAAUUGUGGGUAGCGGAGAAAUUCCAAUCGAGCUCGGAGAUAGCUGGUUCUCCCCGAAAUAGCUUUAGGGCUAGCCUCAGGGG
RNAcentral lists this ribosomal RNA (968 nucleotides) under Thermoanaerobacterium thermosaccharolyticum. RNAcentral describes it as "partial 23S ribosomal RNA". It matches the Rfam family "Bacterial large subunit ribosomal RNA", at positions 1 to 888 of the family's 2925-position model. The record is from RNAcentral. Lineage: Bacteria; Bacillati; Bacillota; Clostridia; Thermoanaerobacterales; Thermoanaerobacteraceae.